AUUGAACGCUGGCGGCAUGCUCUACACAUGCAAGUCGAACGGUAACAGGCCGCCAGGUGCUGACGAGUGGCGCACGGGUGAGUAAUGCAUCGGAACGUGCCCAGUCGUGGGGGCUAACUACUCGUAAGAGUAGCUAAUACCGCAUACGAUCUAUGGAUGACAGCGGGGGACCGUAAGGCCUCGCUCGAUUGGAGCGGCAAAUGUCAGAUUAGGUAGUUGGUGGGGUAAAGGCUCACCAAGCCAACGAUCUGUAGCCGGUCUGAGAGGACGACCAGCCACACUAGAACUGAGACACGGCCCAGACUCCUACGGGGAGCAGCAGUGGGGACUUUUUGACAAUGGGCGAAAGCCUGAUCCAGCAAUGCGGCGUGAAGGAAGAAGGCCUUCGGGUUGUAGACUGCUUUUGUACGGAACGAAACGGCUCUGGUUAAUACCCGAAGAUAAUGACGGUACCGUAAGAAUAAGCACCGGCUAACUACGUG
Molecule: ribosomal RNA, 482 nt
Filed under: uncultured bacterium
Lineage: Bacteria
Description: partial 16S ribosomal RNA
Rfam family: Bacterial small subunit ribosomal RNA
Source: RNAcentral